RNAcentral lists this transfer RNA (73 nucleotides) under Ixodes scapularis (black-legged tick). It matches the Rfam family "tRNA". From Rfam's summary of the family: Transfer RNA (tRNA) molecules are approximately 80 nucleotides in length. Their secondary structure includes four short double-helical elements and three loops (D, anti-codon, and T loops). Further hydrogen bonds mediate the characteristic L-shaped molecular structure. tRNAs have two regions of fundamental functional importance: the anti-codon, which is responsible for specific mRNA codon recognition, and the 3' end, to which the tRNAs corresponding amino acid is attached (by aminoacyl-tRNA synthetases). tRNAs cope with the degeneracy of the genetic code in two manners: having more than one tRNA (with a specific anti-codon) for a particular amino acid; and 'wobble' base-pairing, i.e. permitting non-standard base-pairing at the 3rd anti-codon position. The record is from Rfam by way of RNAcentral. Lineage: Eukaryota; Metazoa; Arthropoda; Arachnida; Ixodida; Ixodidae.
CCCUGGUUAGCUCAGUUGGUGGAGCGCUCCACCUGUAAUGGAGAGGUCCCGGGUUCGAUACCCGGACCAGACA